Molecule: long non-coding RNA, 2576 nt
Filed under: Equus caballus (horse)
Lineage: Eukaryota; Metazoa; Chordata; Mammalia; Perissodactyla; Equidae
Description: lncRNA (ENSECAG00000039138.2)
Source: RNAcentral
AAGGAGAGGAAGCAGAAAAACACAUAAAUUCUCUCGAGGGAGUCAGACAGCCUGAAGCCACGGUCGACAGCUGCAAACGUUACCAUGAGCACAAAAGCAAAACAAGUGUCAGCAGUUCACGUUUUGGCACCAGAUGGAGGCUUUCUUUUGGUGAAAUGCCACCGUGUCAUUCAGCCGAGCUUUGAGCCUUUGAAUGUUCGCGCAGCAUGGCCUGAUGCUGGAUGUGUAGGUCCACGACCGGGAUCGGACCCCGUGAACCCCAGGCCACGAAAAUGGAGCGCAAAGUCAACCACUACACCAUCAGGCCUGCCCCUCAAAAAGUUUUAAAGAACGUUGAGCUUUAAAAUGUUUCGAAGCCCCGAGGCUGGGAUUUUUAGGGAGCAGAUCCAGAGAGCUGGACUGCCUCCUCUGCAGUCUGGACCGUCUGCGUCUUUACAGAGCACCUCCCACCGUGAAGCACAAGGCCCCUCCCUGCUCACUGGAAUGAAAUGAUCGUCCUAAGAGGUCAACUUGCUUAAUUAUAUUUAAUUCCCCCAACUUUCUCCUGUGGCAGGAGGUAAAAUGCCACUGGAUAUGGCUUUUCUCUUGAAAGUACGUGGAAGAGCUGUGUUGGAGGGUCAGAAUAAGUGGUGUGUCUAUCCCUAGUUAGAGGAGGUCGCCUUUCAGUUGUGGUGGACUGAGGCCAUCGGCCACCAGAACAAGCCAUCUCUUGCUUUACUGUAGAACCAGCUGUAACAUCUAGAACGUGUUGCUCCUCUUUUCCUAAGGACUCAGAAUAUACCCACGAAGUUACUUCAAAUAGAGUCUAUUGUAAUCGUCAAAUAAGCCGAAUGUCGCUAAAUAUACCCGCUGUUAUUUUAGUCUUUAUUUGUAUAUGAUGAUUUAAUUUUCAUUGACUUGGAUGUGCUGUAGUGUAAAGCGCUCUGACUUCCCACCGCGGGUGGAGAGGGAACGACGAUGCUGAAGCGCACAGAGCCGUCACCGGGGGCGGGUUGACUCGAAGCAUGCAGGCAGACAUACGGGCCUCAUGUGUGCCCACCAUCCAAGGGAGAGGAGAAGCCGAGAGAGGAAGCCUGCACUGGAAGAAGGAAAGAGACAACGAGACAGAGAGAGGCCCACGCAGUCUGUGUGGAGAAAGGAGAUUUGAUCAGAGAAAUCACAAAGCAGGAUCCAGACGCCCUGACAGCUACUGGGCAGUUACUGAGACUCAUUCUUAUCAACUGAGGUGGAGCACAAAAUUAAGCAAUACUAAGGCGAGGCCAAUUCUAGGAUAGAUAUAUGAAAUGACAGAAAACUAUUUGUUUUACCUUUUUUUCCUCCCUGUGUGUGAUGCAUUUAUUUAUAUUUGAAAUGGAACGCAGUAAUUUAUCUUAUCUUUAUUCUACACCUGAAGUCAUCCUCUUCCUCCUCAAAUUAGCAUCUCCUCCUGAAUUUUCUCUCUCAUUUGGGGCUCCUUUGGAGCGAGGCCCUCCAACUUGAACCCCUGAAAAUCUAAGAUAGCUACGAUCCUGCUCACUCCGUAACAAGGCUCCCUAAUUGUUUUUUCGUGAAGAAACAACACUGAUGUUCCAGUCAAGACAUAACAUUGCCCCGGGAAGCAAUUAUUAUUAUUUUUUUAAUAUCAGCUUUAUUAAGAUAUAUAUAUAGGGGCCGGCCCCAUGGCCGAGUGGUUAAGUUCGUGUGCUCUGCUUGGGCAGCCCAGGGUUUCACUGUUCACUGGUUUGGAUUCUGGGCACGGACAUGGCACCACUCAUCAGGCCAUACUGAGGUGGCGUCCCACAUGCCACAACUAGAAGGACACACAACUAAAAAUAUACAACUAUGUGCUGGCAGGUUUUGGGGAGAAAAUGUAAAAAUAAAAUAAAUUAAAAAAUAUAUAUAUAUAUAUACAUGUAUCUUAUAAUAUAUAUAUGUAUCAUAAAAUUCACCAUUCUUUAAAGUGUACAAUUUAGGAGUAUUUAGUAUAUCCACAGAAUUGUGCGACCAUCAUCAACAUCUCAUUGUAGAACAUCUUUAUUACCCCCCAAAAAACCCUGUACCCUUUGGUGGUCACUCCACAAUCCCUCCAUCCCCACCCCUGGCAACAGCUAAUCCACUUUUUCCCUCUAUGGAUUUGCAUAUUCUGGAUAUUUCCUAUAAAUGCAGUCACACACGUGGACUUUUUGUUUGGCUUCUUUCACUUAGCAUAAUGUUUUUGAGAUUCAACCGUGUUGUAGCAUGUAUUAGUAUUUCAUUCCUUUUUAUGGCUGAAUAAUAUUUCAUUCUGUACACCAAGUUUUGUGUACCCAUUCAUCAGUUGAUGGACAUUUCAAUUGCUUUUACUUCUUGGCUAUUGUGACUAAUGCUGCUGUGGACACUUAUUCACAAGUUUUUGUGUGGACAUGUGUUUUCAGUUCUCUUGGGUAUAUACCCAGGAAUAGAAUUAUUGGGUUACGUGACAACUCUACAUUGAACAUUUUGAGAAACUUCCAAACUGUUUUCCAAAGUGUCUGCACCAAUUUACAACUAAUGAAUGAGGGUUCCAAUUUCUCCACAUCCUCAUCAACAUUUGUUAUUACCUGUCUUUUUUAUUUUAG